This 430-nucleotide ribosomal RNA is filed under the name Acidobacteriota bacterium. Its description in RNAcentral is "Acidobacteria bacterium partial 16S ribosomal RNA". It matches the Rfam family "Bacterial small subunit ribosomal RNA", at positions 355 to 776 of the family's 1533-position model. Lineage: Bacteria; Pseudomonadati; Acidobacteriota. The record is from RNAcentral.
UGGGGAAUAUUGGACAAUGGGGGGAACCCUGAUCCAGCCAUGCCGCGUGUGUGAAGAAGGCCUUCUGGUUGUAAAGCACUUUAAGCGAGGAGGAGGCUCUCUUGGUUAAUACCCAAGAUGAGUGGACGUUACUCGCAGAAUAAGCACCGGCUAACUCUGUGCCAGCAGCCGCGGUAAUACAGAGGGUGCGAGCGUUAAUCGGAUUUACUGGGCGUAAAGCGUGCGUAGGCGGCUUUUUAAGUCGGAUGUGAAAUCCCCGAGCUUAACUUGGGAAUUGCAUUCGAUACUGGGAAGCUAGAGUAUGGGAGAGGAUGGUAGAAUUCCAGGUGUAGCGGUGAAAUGCGUAGAGAUCUGGAGGAAUACCGAUGGCGAAAGCAGCCAUCUGGCCUAAUACUGACGCUGAGGUACGAAAGCAUGGGGAGCAAACAGG